RNAcentral lists this ribosomal RNA (429 nucleotides) under Bacteroidota bacterium. RNAcentral describes it as "Bacteroidetes bacterium partial 16S ribosomal RNA". It matches the Rfam family "Bacterial small subunit ribosomal RNA", at positions 355 to 776 of the family's 1533-position model. Lineage: Bacteria; Pseudomonadati; Bacteroidota. The record is from RNAcentral.
UAGGGAAUCUUCGGCAAUGGGGGGAACCCUGACCGAGCAACGCCGCGUGAGUGAAGAAGGUUUUCGGAUCGUAAAGCUCUGUUGUUAAGGAAGAACGAGUGUGAGAAUGGAAAGUUCAUGCUGUGACGGUACUUAACCAGAAAGGGACGGCUAACUACGUGCCAGCAGCCGCGGUAAUACGUAGGUCCCGAGCGUUGUCCGGAUUUAUUGGGCGUAAAGCGAGCGCAGGCGGUUAGAUAAGUCUGAAGUUAAAGGCAGUGGCUCAACCAUUGUAGGCUUUGGAAACUGUUUAACUUGAGCGCAGAAGGGGAGAGUGGAAUUCCAUGUGUAGCGGUGAAAUGCGUAGAUAUAUGGAGGAACACCGGUGGCGAAAGCGGCUCUCUGGUCUGUAACUGACGCUGAGGCUCGAAAGCGUGGGGAGCGAACAGG